AACAGGAUUAGAUACCCUGGUAGUCCAUGCCGUAAACGAUGAGUGCUAGGUGUUGGAGGGUUUCCGCCCUUCAGUGCCGGAGCUAACGCAUUAAGCACUCCGCCUGGGGAGCACGACCGCAAGGUUGAAACUCAAAGGAAUUGACGGGGGCCCGCACAAGCGGUGGAGCAUGUGGUUUAAUUCGAAGCUACGCGAAGAACCUUACCAGGUCUUGACAUCCCGCUGAUCGGUGUAGAGAUAUGCCUUUCCUUCGGGACAGCGGUGACAGGUGGUGCAUGGUUGUCGUCAGCUCGUGUCGUGAGAUGUUGGGUUCAGUCCCGCAACGAGCGCAACCCUUGUCGUCAGUUGCCAGCACGUAGAGGUGGGCACUCUGGCGAGACGGCCGGUGAAAGCCGGAGGAAGGUGGGGAUGACGUCAAAUCAUCAUGCCCCUUAUGUCCUGGGCUACGCACGUGCUACAAUGGCCGGUACAACGGGUAGCGAACCCGCGAGGGGGAGCCAAUCCAAAAAACCGGUCUCAGUUCGGAUCGCAGGCUGCAACUCGCCUGCGUGAAGCUGGAAUCGCUAGUAAUCGCGGAUCAGCAUGCCGCGGUGAAUCCGUUCCCGGGCCUUGUACACACCGCCCGUCACACCACGAGAGUCUGCAACACCCGAAGUCGGUGAGGUAACCUUCGGGAACCAGCCGCCGAAGGUGGGGCAGAUGAUUGGGGUGAAGUCGUAACAAGGUAACC
RNAcentral lists this ribosomal RNA (730 nucleotides) under uncultured bacterium. RNAcentral describes it as "bacterial SSU rRNA". It matches the Rfam family "Bacterial small subunit ribosomal RNA", at positions 771 to 1501 of the family's 1533-position model. The record is from RNAcentral.